GAUGAAGAACGUAGCAAAAUGCGAUACUUGGUGUGAAUUGCAGAAUCCCGUGAACCAUCGAGUUUUUGAACGCAAGUUGCGCCCGAAGCCUUUUGGCCGAGGGCACGUCUGCCUGGGCGUCACGCAUCGCGUCGCCCCCCACAAUUCUCCGUAAAGGGAACGUGUGUUUUGGGGGCGGAUAUUGGUCUCCCGUGCUCAUGGCGUGGUUGGCCGAAAUAGGAGUCCUUUCGAUGGACGCACGAACUAGUGGUGGUCGUAAAAGCCCUCGUCUUUUGUUUCGUGCUGUUGCUCGCAAGGUAAACUCUUUAAAAACCCCAAUGUGUCGUCUCUUGACGACGCUUCGACCGCGACCCCAGGUCAGGCGGGACUACCCGCUGAGUUUAAGCAUAUCAAUAAGCGGAGGA
This 404-nucleotide unclassified non-coding RNA is filed under the name soil metagenome. Its description in RNAcentral is "partial contains 5.8S ribosomal RNA, internal transcribed spacer 2, and large subunit ribosomal RNA". The stretch from base 1 to 122 matches the Rfam family "5.8S ribosomal RNA", at positions 35 to 154 of the family's 154-position model. The record is from RNAcentral.